UUGUCACUCCCUCCGUCCGGAAAAAGUUGUCCUAAAGAUGAAUGUAUCAAGACUUAUUUUAGUUAUAGAUACAUCCAUUAUAUCCAUUUCUAGGACAAGUAUUUCCGGACGGAGGGAGUAUUAU
This 124-nucleotide microRNA precursor is filed under the name Hordeum vulgare. Its description in RNAcentral is "microRNA MIR1122". It matches the Rfam family "MIR1120/MIR1122 microRNA precursor family". The record is from RNAcentral. Lineage: Eukaryota; Viridiplantae; Streptophyta; Magnoliopsida; Poales; Poaceae.